CCUACGGGAGGCAGCAGUGAGGAAUAUUGGUCAAUGGGCGCGAGCCUGAACCAGCCACGCAGCGUGAAGGAUGACUGCCCUACGGGUUUUAAACUUCUUUUAUAAAGGAAUAAAGUGAGGCACGUGUGCCUUUUUGUAUGUACUUUAUGAAUAAGGAUCGGCUAACUCCGUGCCAGCAGCCGCGGUAAUACGGAGGAUCCGAGCGUUAUCCGGAUUUCUUGGGUUUCAAGGGAGCGUAGAUGGGUUGUUAAGUCAGUUGUGAAAGUUUGCGGCUCAACCGUAAAAUUGCAAUUGAUACUGGCAGUCUUGAGUACAGUUGAGGUAGGCGGAAUUCGUGGUGUAGCGGUGAAAUGCUGAGAUAACACGAAGAACUCCGAUUGCGAAGGCAGCUUACUAAACUGCCACUGACAUUGAUGCUCGAAAGUGUGGGUAGCAAACAGGAUUAGAUACCCCUGUAGUC
Molecule: ribosomal RNA, 460 nt
Filed under: uncultured bacterium
Lineage: Bacteria
Description: partial 16S ribosomal RNA
Rfam family: Bacterial small subunit ribosomal RNA
Source: RNAcentral